GCCGGGUGUGGUGGUGCAUGCCUGUAGUCCUAGCUACUAAGGAGGCUGAGGUAGGGGGAUCACCUCAGCCUGGGAGAUCAAGGCUGCAGUGAGCCAUGAUCGUGCCACUGCACUCCAGCUUAGGUGACAGGGUGAGACCCUAUCUCAA
Molecule: non-coding RNA, 148 nt
Organism: Gorilla gorilla gorilla (western lowland gorilla)
Lineage: Eukaryota; Metazoa; Chordata; Mammalia; Primates; Hominidae
Rfam family: Metazoan signal recognition particle RNA
About the family: The signal recognition particle (SRP) is a universally conserved ribonucleoprotein. It is involved in the co-translational targeting of proteins to membranes.
Source: Rfam